This 716-nucleotide ribosomal RNA is filed under the name uncultured bacterium. RNAcentral's name for it is "bacterial SSU rRNA". It matches the Rfam family "Bacterial small subunit ribosomal RNA", at positions 23 to 723 of the family's 1533-position model. The record is from RNAcentral.
CUCAGAUUGAACCUGGCGGUUACUUUACACAUGCAAGUCGUGCGGCAGCGCGGGACUCAGGCAACUGAGCCCUGGCGGCGAGCGGCGAACGGGUGAGGAAUACAUCGGAACGUACCCCGGAGUGGGGGAUAACCCAGCGAAAGUUGGACUAAUACCGCAUAUGCUCUGAGGAGGAAAGCAGGGACUUCGCAAGAGGCCUUGCGCUCUGGGAGCGGCCGAUGUCCGAUUAGCUAGUUGGUGGGGUAAUGGCUCACCAAGGCGACGAUCGGUAGCUGGUCUGAGAGGAUGAUCAGCCACACUGGGACUGAGACACGGCCCAGACUCCUACGGGAGGCAGCAGUGGGGAAUUUUGGACAAUGGGGGCAACCCUGAUCCAGCCAUGCCGCGUGCGGGAAGAAGGCCUUCGGGUUGUAAACCGCUUUUGGUCGGGAAGAAAGGGCAGGCUUGAAUACGGCCUGUCUUUGACGGUACCGGCAGAAUAAGCACCGGCUAACUACGUGCCAGCAGCCGCGGUAAUACGUAGGGUGCGAGCGUUAAUCGGAAUUACUGGGCGUAAAGCGUGCGUAGGCGGUUCGUUAUGUCUGCUGUGAAAGCCCCGGGCUCAACCUGGGAAUGGCAGUGGAAACUGGCGGGCUGGAGGGUGGCAGAGGGGGGUGGAAUUCCGCGUGUAGCAGUGAAAUGCGUAGAGAUGCGGAGGAACACCGAUGGCGAAGGCA